This is a long non-coding RNA of Helianthus annuus (common sunflower), 647 nucleotides long. RefSeq lists it as uncharacterized. Lineage: Eukaryota; Viridiplantae; Streptophyta; Magnoliopsida; Asterales; Asteraceae. The record is from RefSeq and is a predicted model, not a curated record. The transcript is spliced from 4 exons.
GAAACAAGAGAGAGAUGGGGCAGAUGAGAGACGCAGACGGGAGAUGGUCAUCUUCUCCGACGACUGGUGUCAGCGAUAGGGCUUUCUUAGUAGCCAGCGACGGCGGUGGUUCCAAAGUGGUUGUUGUUGUUGUCAUCGGUGGUCAGCAAAGGGUGAGAUCUGUCUUCCAUCGACUAGGGUUCCGCCAUGAAUCACUGGCGGCAACGAACAUUGAUUAUUGACAUAGUCCAGUCGAUAUCAACUUCAUGCUCUGUGACUCUGAGUUUCCAAUUGAAGGAACAAAAUGGCACUUUAGUUCCAAGAAGCUUGAAGAGAUAUUAGCAAAACUGAUUCACUGGUGGUGAGAAUUCGAAGUCUAAUCAUCUAAACAAGAUCCAUUCCUGCAGUAGCUAGUGAAGUUAUUGGCAAACUACCAAAGGAAAAAAUGGUGGAUGGAGAUCAACUGAAACUGGACAUAUAAUUGUUACUACAGUUGGAGGUAGAAAUGGUCCCGAAGACGGUAUUCUACAAUCUCUUUUAAAGGAACCACUAAGUUUGUUGAUGAAUCUACUUUGGAAAUCAGUGGAAGCAUAAUGAAGUUACUUUGGAUUACUUUUCCUUUGGAAUAAGAUAUCUUCUACAGUUGGACUUGAUCUUAUUGAAAUCAG